ACGGGGUGCAGCAGGCGCGAAAACUUUACAAUGCGGGAAACCGUGAUAAGGGAAUCUCGAGUGCCAGCAUAUAAUGUUGGCUGUCCAGAUGCCUAAAAAGCAUCUGUUAGCAAGGGCCGGGCAAGACCGGUGCCAGCCGCCGCGGUAACACCGGCGGCCCGAGUGGUAACCGCUUUUAUUGGGUCUAAAGGGUCUGUAGCCGGCCAAGUAAGUCCCUUGGGAAAUCUGGCAGCUUAACUGUCAGGCUGCUAGGGGAUACUGCUAGGCUUGGGACCGGGAGAGGUGAGAGGUACCUUGGGGGUAGGGGUGAAAUCUUGUGAUCCUCGGGGGACCACCAGUGGCGAAGGCGUCUCACCAGAACGGGUCCGACGGUAAGGGACGAAAGCUAGGGGCACGAACCGGAUUAGAUACCCCCGUAGUCC
Molecule: ribosomal RNA, 422 nt
Filed under: uncultured bacterium
Lineage: Bacteria
Description: bacterial SSU rRNA
Rfam family: Archaeal small subunit ribosomal RNA
Source: RNAcentral